This 1239-nucleotide ribosomal RNA is filed under the name metagenome. RNAcentral's name for it is "bacterial LSU rRNA". It matches the Rfam family "Bacterial large subunit ribosomal RNA", at positions 1566 to 2817 of the family's 2925-position model. The record is from RNAcentral.
AGUACGAGACGCUAAGGCGUCGAAGUAGUGGAUGUCAUACUUCCAAAAAGCUUGCACUGUCAUAAAUAAAAGACGCCUGUACCAUAACCGACACAGGUGGGUAGGUAGAGUAUACUAAGGGGCGCGAGAUAACUCUCUCUAAGGAACUCGGCAAAAUAACUCCGUAACUUCGGGAGAAGGAGUGCCUUAUUCGUAAGGCUGCAAUAACCAGAUCCAAGCAACUGUUUAUCAAAAACACAGGUCUCCGCUAAGUCGUAAGACGAUGUAUGGGGGCUGACGCCUGCCCAGUGCCAGAAGGUUAAAGAAGUCGGUUAGCAUUAGCGAAGCUGGUAACUGAAGCCCUGGUGAACGGCGGCCGUAACUAUAACGGUCCUAAGGUAGCGAAAUUCCUUGUCGGGUAAGUUCCGACCCGCACGAAAGGCGUAAUGAUUUGGAUACUGUCUCGGAGAGGGGCUCGGUGAAAUAGACUUGUCUGUGAAGAUGCGGACUACCUGCACCAGGACAGAAAGACCCUAUGAAGCUUUACUGUAACUUGAAAUUGAAAUUGGACUUUAUUCGCGCAGUAUAGGUGGGAGGUGUUGAUUAUAAUCUUGCGGGAUUAUUGGAGCCAUCAGUGAGAUACCACUCUUGUAAUGUUAGAUUUCUAACUUUGAAUCAUUAUCUGGUCAAAGAACAGUUUCAGGCGGGCAGUUUGACUGGGGCGGUCGCCUCCUAAAUGGUAACGGAGGCGUACAAAGGUUUCCUCUGAACGGGUAGAAAUCGUAUCUAGAGUGUAAAGGCAUAAGGAAGCUUGACUGUGAGACCUACAAGUCGAGCAGGGACGAAAGUCGGUCUUAGUGAUCUGACGGUACUGAGUGGAAAGGCCGUCACUCAACGGAUAAAAGUUACUCUAGGAUAACAGGCUGAUCUCCCCCAAGAGUUCACAUCGACGGGGAGGUUUGGCACCUCGAUGUCGGCUCAUCGCAUCCUGGGGCGGUAGUACGUCCCAAGGGUUGGGCUGUUCGCCCAUGAAAGCGGUACGCGAGCUGGGUUCAGAACGUCGUGAGACAGUUCGGUCCAUAUCCGGUGUAGGCGUUAGAAUAUUGAGAGGAGCCUUCUUUAGUACGAGAGGACCGAGAAGGACAUACCUCUGGUGUACCAGUUAUCGUGCCAACGGUAAACGCUGGGUAGCUAUGUAUGGAGUGGAUAACCGCUGAAAGCAUCUAAGUGGGAAGCCCACCUCAAGAUAAGUAUUCUCAC